This 497-nucleotide ribosomal RNA is filed under the name uncultured bacterium. Its description in RNAcentral is "partial 16S ribosomal RNA". It matches the Rfam family "Bacterial small subunit ribosomal RNA", at positions 28 to 507 of the family's 1533-position model. The record is from RNAcentral.
GAAGAAAGCUGGCGGCGUGCCUAAUACAUGCAAGUCGAGCGAACGGACGAGAAGCUUGCUUCUCUGAUGUUAGCGGCGGACGGGUGAGUAACACGUGGAUAACCUACCUAUAAGACUGGGAUAACUUCGGGAAACCGUAGCUAAUACCGGAUAAUAUUUUGAACCGCAUGGUUCAAAAGUGAAAGACGGUCUUGCUGUCACUUAUAGAUGGAUCCGCGCUGCAUUAGCUAGUUGGUAAGGUAACGGCUUACCAAGGCAACGAUGCAUAGCCGACCUGAGAGGGUGAUCGGCCACACUGGAACUGAGACACGGUCCAGACUCCUGCGGGAGGCAGCAGUAGGGAAUCUUCCGCAAUGGGCGAAAGCCUUACGGAGCAACGCCGCGUGAGUGAUGAAGGUCUUCGGAUCGUAAAACUCUGUUAUUAGGUAAGAACAUAUGUGUAAGUAACUGUGCACAUCUUGACGGUACCUAAUCAGAAAGCCACGGCUAACUACGUG